GCUGGACAUGACGAAGCCGCGGUAGUGGGAGAAGGGCCAGAGGCCGUGGCCGAAGUCGCCGCUCCCGGCGCGGGGGCUGCAGCCGGGGGAAGAGGAAGAGGAGGAGGAGGAGGAGUGUUUUGGGGCCAGGGGGUGGGCGUGGGAGGCGGUGAGGUCGACGGUGAACUUACCGCCCUUGGCGGCGCUGAGGGAGGACUCGGCGAGGGGGAUGGCGACGCUCAUGGAGGUGUCGGGGAGGAGGAGCUCGAAGCGGUAGCCGAGGGCGUCGGAGGAGGAGGCGCCGCCGCCGCCGCCGCGGUCGCGCCAGGCCUCGAGGCGGCCCCAGGGCUUCCAGGUGCCGUCGCCGGGGCGGAGGAUGAGCCACGCGCCCGGGUUGGAGCGGCUCACCCGGUCCGUCCCGGGGGACGCCACGAACGGGGUCACCAUCGACGCCACCGCCACGGGCGACCCGGACAGGUCGUGCACCGUCACCGACCACCCCUUCCGCUCCUUCGCCGGCCGCUCCCGCUCCCGCUCCCGCUCCGACCCGAACGACGCCAGCCACCCCCUCGCCUCCGACUGCACCACCGAUCUGUCCGAGCAAAUCGACAAUAAUCAAUUACUCACCCAUCCAUCCAUCCAUCCAUCCAUCCAGCUGCAGGGGUUGGUGUUUUGAAUAUAUUCUUCGAAUGCAGAUCGAUUGAUUGUACCUACCUGGAGCGCAGGUGGCAGUCGCUAGGGUUUCGGAAGCUGAACUUGCAGGUGAAGACGGGCUGGCGCAUGGAGCCCUGGAGCUGGAAGACCUGGGGGCUGCACUCGGGCUCGCCUUCGAACUCGAAGACGAAGCGCGGGUCGGGCUCGGAGCGGACGGUGAGGUGGAUCAGCGCCGAGGGGGCCGCGCCCUUGGCGUCCUUGCCCACGGCGAUCCACCCGUUGUGGUGGACCGCGGCGCGCGCCUCCGCGCCCUUGAGGUCCAGCCGCAGCGUCACCUUCCCGAGGAGGCGCCCGGAGCUCAUCCCGCACGUGGUGCCCCGCCGCCCCGUGUAGAUCGCCACCUUCAGCCGCGCCGAGCGCCCGGAGAAGAGCGACGGCUUCGCCGCGAUGCGGUCGAGCUCCGCCUUCGAGAGGUGGAACGCCGCCGCGAGCGCCGCUGCCCCCUGCGGAGGAGGAGGGCUCCGCGGACGGGACGAGCGGGGCGACGGCGGUUUGGUAGGGGAGCUUGUUGAGGCGGAUCUUGCAGUAGCAGGGCGCGGCGGAGGGGUGGACGCCGGCGCCGGCGGGCCGCGCCGCCACCGGGAUCUUCAGGGCCAGGUUCCCCACCAGGACCCGCACGAAGGGACACGGGUCCAU
Molecule: long non-coding RNA, 1329 nt
Filed under: Ananas comosus (pineapple)
Lineage: Eukaryota; Viridiplantae; Streptophyta; Magnoliopsida; Poales; Bromeliaceae
Description: long non-coding RNA (ACOM_LNC014429)
Source: RNAcentral